UACAGUCUACUUCCCAGCUUGGGGAAAAUCAUAUAGUAUAUUACAAGGUUAAAUUUACGUGGCCACCUUACUGCCACUCACUCUAGUUGGCACAACAAUUAAAGAAGAUAGAUAGAAAUGUCCAUAAAGUUAGUGGAAAGCAAAAUAAGUGUGCUGCCACCCCACUACCUAUUGCUCCCCACCUAUUCAAACCACCUCCACCAUCUCGAUUCUUUAAGGCUACUAGCCAACACUCCUUCAAGCAAACAAUUCAGCAGCAACCUACCUCCAUUCAUUCUUUACUCACCUGUAUUUGUUAAAGUAGCAACCUUAUUUCAGUUCAUCUCAUACAAAUCAACAACAACAGCCAUCAACAACAAACAAUUACAGGUCAAGCGCGAGAGUAAGAACUACACAAGGAGUUAGAGUACCUUAGCAAAACUUUGCUAUCAGGUUGAGCUGUGAUGGGCGAUGAAGUGUUGUUGCUGAGUGGAGUUUUUGUCGAACUUAAAGUAGGCUCAGAAAGGAUACAUGUCUUCAUACAUGUAUCUCAGUUAUGCUUUCCGCUGUAAACACUGAUUUUUUUUUAGUUACACCUUCCGUUGCAAACUCUGAUAAUGUUUUAGCCAAGCCCCUAACGAUGCCUUUUUCCUUUUUAAGGAAUAUAACGCGUAUACAAGUUCUUUGAGUACCCUUUUUAUGCGAACUAUGCCUUUUUCCUUUUUAAGGAGUAUUUCACACGUAUUCAAGCUCUUUGAGUAUUCUUUUAUGCACCCCUUUCUAAACCCGCUUCGUAAUUUCCCUUCCCCAGUCA
This is a long non-coding RNA of Salvia miltiorrhiza (redroot sage), 793 nucleotides long. RefSeq lists it as uncharacterized. Lineage: Eukaryota; Viridiplantae; Streptophyta; Magnoliopsida; Lamiales; Lamiaceae. The record is from RefSeq and is a predicted model, not a curated record. The transcript is spliced from 3 exons.